CAGUAGUUCAGUUGGUAGAGCAUCGGUCUCCAAAACCGAGUGUCGCGGGUUCGAGUCCUGCCUG
Molecule: transfer RNA, 64 nt
Filed under: uncultured Treponema sp.
Lineage: Bacteria; Pseudomonadati; Spirochaetota; Spirochaetia; Treponematales; Treponemataceae
Rfam family: tRNA
About the family: Transfer RNA (tRNA) molecules are approximately 80 nucleotides in length. Their secondary structure includes four short double-helical elements and three loops (D, anti-codon, and T loops).
Source: RNAcentral